UAGGGAAUCUUCGGCAAUGGACGAAAGUCUGACCGAGCAACGCCGCGUGAGUGAAGAAGGUUUUCGGAUCGUAAAACUCUGUUGUUAGAGAAGAACAAGGACGUUAGUAACUGAACGUCCCCUGACGGUAUCUAACCAGAAAGCCACGGCUAACUACUUGCCAGCAGCCGCGGUAAUACGCAGGUGGCACGCGUUGUCCGGAUUUAUUGGGCGUAAAGCGAGCGCAGGCGGUUUCUUAAGUCUGAUGUGAAAGCCCCCAGCUCAACCGGGGAGGGUCAUUGGAAACUGGGAGACUUGAGUGCGGAGGAGGGGAGUGGAAUUCGAUGUGUAGCGGUGAAAUGAGUAGAUAUAUGGAGGAACACCAGUGGCGAAGGCGGCUCUCUGGUCUGUAACUGACGCUGAGGCUCGAAAGCGUGGGGGGCAAACAGG
Molecule: ribosomal RNA, 429 nt
Filed under: Gemmatimonadota bacterium
Lineage: Bacteria; Pseudomonadati; Gemmatimonadota
Description: Gemmatimonadetes bacterium partial 16S ribosomal RNA
Rfam family: Bacterial small subunit ribosomal RNA
Source: RNAcentral